Paramisgurnus dabryanus is the source of this 531-nucleotide long non-coding RNA. RefSeq lists it as uncharacterized. The record is from RefSeq and is a predicted model, not a curated record. Lineage: Eukaryota; Metazoa; Chordata; Actinopteri; Cypriniformes; Cobitidae.
UUUAAAGUUUAACGCCAGUACGCCAUAUUCUACAUGCGCUUCUCCUCCUGUCCAUACGGUAAUUUCUCUACUGUGCGACAGAGAGUCGCGUGGUUAUGACGCAAUCGUUAGCAUAGUUUUACUAAAACUGCUUCUACUGGGCCAUAACGUAAGAUACAAGGCAGAUCAACAUGCAAUUUGAAGACGCGUGAUAAAAUACAGAGAGGUGAAGUAGUGUGUCUUUCCAGAUCCCCAAAUCAUUCCCCCUUAAAAGAUGAGCCUGAAGAGGAGAUUUGGGAAGAUGCUGUUUCAUAAGUCGCUUUGCCAGAUCACCUGUGGUAAGUUUGUAAAACAUAUAUUAAAAAUAGGAUUAGAUCAUCUCCUUAUCAAAAGUUUUUGAUCAGGUCGGGAUGUCUGCUAACAAGAUGCCUUGCGUUUACAUUGACUUAUUUCCUUACCUCUUCUUUCUCUGAAGCAUUUUCUCCUGUGGUACGCAAGAUCUCGCAGACAGCCGUUAAAACAGUCCAGUCUCGUGUAAUCUCGCGAGAUUAC